ACAAUGCAGAUUUUUGCAUAUUAUGUACAUACACACGCAGGGUAGAGGCAUACAUCGACCCAUGCAUGCAUGAGAGGGUGUGUAUAUAUAGAAAGGGAGAGGUAGAUUGACAGUCUCCUGGAAAAGAUCUUUGACUUUAUUUGUGGAAAUAAGAAAGUGGAACUUCUACUAAGGAAAAGUCUUAAGGUUAUAGAAUGUCAUUGCCUUCUAAAUUGAAUAAGUUAUUCUAGCAGCUGCAGUGAUCAUCACUGACAGUCACCUGUUUAAGGUUAACAAUGGUACUUGUUAUUUGUAGGUACAGACAUUACAUAAUGUCACUGGCAGUGGAGGUGGACAAGUUUGGAAUCGGAACUUUUUUUUUUUUUCUUUUUUAAAAAGGGCCAGGAGUUCCCAUCGUAGCUCAAUGGUUAGCGAAUCCAACUAGGAACCAUGAAGUUGUGGGUUUGAUUCCUGGCCUUGCUCCGUGGGUUAAGGAUCUGGUGUUGCCGUGAGCUGUGGUAUAGGUUGCAGACGUGGCUGGAAUCCUGCAUUGCUGGGUCUCUGGCAUAGGCCAGCGGCUACAGCUUUGAUUAGACCCCUAGCCUAGGAACCUUCAUAUGCUGUGGGUGUGGCCCUAGAAAAGGCAAACAGACAAAAAAAAAAGGGGGGCCACACCCACAGCAUAUGGCGAUUUUCAGGCUAGGGGUCAAAAUGGAGCUGCAGCUUCCAGCCUUCACCAGAGCCACAGCAAUGCCAGAUCCAAGCCGCAUCUACGAGCUACACCACAGCUCAUGACAAUACAGGAUCCUUAACCCAUCAAGCAAGUUCAGGGAUCAAACCUGCAUUCUCAUGGAUACUAGUCGGGUUCUUUACCCCGAGCCAUGAUGGGAACUCUUGGAAUCAGUACUUCUUUACAUAUGGACACAACUGAAUUGCAGAUGUCAACCCACCAUUUUAUAGAAUGACAAAGGAAUUGAUUUUGAAUUCUAAUUAGGUAUCCACAUAUCUGUUGAAUGGCUAAUACUGUCGACUUAAAAAAUAUGCACUACCUAAAAGUUGAGAGCUAAGUUUUAUUUGGGGCAAAAUGAGGACCAUAGCCUGGAGGCAGCAUCUUGGAGAGCUCUGAGAAACCGCUCCAAAGGAGUAGGAAAAAAUCCACAUAUAUGUGAUUUUGGCUAAGGGGGAUUGUAUAAUAUGACCAAACUCACAUUUUACAGAAGGUCACUGCUGGUCAUGAGAAGCAGAUGUCAUCAUGAAGGAUUUUAGUGCUUUUAUAGAUGUGAGGAGAUGGAAGUUUUUGGUUCAUAACAUCUCCUGAAAAUAUCCAACUCUCUGAAGACCUGUUCUGCCAGUUUUCCCAGAGCACGGGGCUCCUCACUCCUGAUCUCCACCCUGAGCUCUUUUGCAGGUGUAGAGGGUCAACAGCUGCAGUGGCACAGGAUUCAGUCUCUGUAGAAGCAGAUGGCCAGUGUCAACCUCCAGUUCACGGUACAGAAUGACAAGCAUAUUAAAUCCUGAUGAGGAGCAGUCUCAAACUUCUUCCCUCUCCAACACACCUGAAAAACAGAAUAUCUUUUCCUUCCACAAAAUGAUUCAACUUAGUCAGAAAAUACAUUAAACAAAUACUUAUUAAAUGCUUAAAAUUCACCAGCUACUUUGCUAUAUAAAAGAAAGCUUCUGAAGAGUUCUCUGAUGGCACAGUGUGUUGAGGAUCUGGCUUUGUCAUCAUUGCAGUGGCCAGGUGGCUGUUAUGGCCCUGGUUAGAACUUCCACAUGCCUAGGGCCAAAACAGAAAGGCCUCUGUGGUAGUGUGGGGAAAGAGUAUGAAGGCGGAGGCCUCCUGGGUAGCUGUGACUUUGGCUGGGGUGUCUCUGUCCUCUUCUUGUACCUUCUGUCAACCUCGAUGAAGAAUUACUGAGCUAAGUUUUAAGCUCUUUAGUAAAUAAAACAAGCCCAUCUUUCUCUCCCUCCCUCUGUCCUGUUUCUACUUCUGCUGUUUUUCCUUCUCCCCACCCCUUCCCCUGUUCCCCUCUCCUCUCCUUCCUUCUUCUUCCCCCUUCUCCCCUCCCUCCCUUCUUCUCCCCUCCCUUCCUUCUUCUCCCCCUUCUCUUCUCAUUCUCCCUUCUCUUCCCUCUUUUCCCCCUCAUCUCCACUUUUCCAUUUUUCCCUCCCACCUCUUUCUUUCUCUCUGUCUCAGUCUCUCCCUCUAGUGACUGGCCCUUACCUUGGAUAUUUUAAUCCUAUCCCUGGAAAAUGUGGAAACAGAGGUCACACCUCGGGCAGGUUGAUUUUGCACCCAUUUAGGUAGCUUAUGGAAAUGAUCUGUUAUAUGACAGAGACGACACUUUCAGAGACUUUUGUUAUCUCUGAGUUCCACAUGGGUAGAGUGGACUGAGCAAUGGAUUGGAGAGCAGGGCUGGGCGUCUGCCUCCCUUCCUUCCACUGACCCUCAAACUCUCAGGUCCCACAAGUCAUACAUUCCCUUCAGCUUCCUUUUUAAGCCAUGUGCCCUAGGAUUGUAUUGUCCUGCCUCUCUUACUAGAUUGCUACAAAAAUAAAAUAUAACGUAUUGUGAGUGCUUCAUUAGCUAAAAUGUUACAUAACCACAAGGACUUCAGGAUUACUGCUCAAUCAUAGGCUGUGGGCAAGCUAUGCACUUGGCCCAUUAAGCCCUUGCUGGCUAACAUGUCUAUUGGUGGAUCCCUGGGCUCCUGUAUUUCAGAGCAUCUUACCUGUGUAGUUUUGGGCCACAUAGGUACCUGGGAUUGCUCAGCCAGAGUCCGUGUUGUUUACAGUGUUUUUGUUUGUUUGUUUUUCCUGAGUUGAUCUGAGAAAAAAUUCUGUUAAUUGAAAAUUUAGGAUUCAUUUGGCGUGUGUUAUUCUUCCAUUCCAUACCCAGGCUUUCACAGUCCAGAUGUUUUUCAUCUUGAGGAGACAGAUCUGUUCCUCCCUAACGUUUGAUGAGGACAGGAAAAUGUCAGUGACAACAGUGCCCCCCCCAGGUAUGAGGUACUAACUAAGUCCUGACAUACUUGAUAUAUUUAUUUCAGAAUUUGAAAAAGGCUGUAUGAGGAUGAGAGCUC
Molecule: long non-coding RNA, 3062 nt
Filed under: Sus scrofa (pig)
Lineage: Eukaryota; Metazoa; Chordata; Mammalia; Artiodactyla; Suidae
Description: lncRNA (ENSSSCG00000059907.1)
Source: RNAcentral